UACGUAGGGUGCAAGCGUUGUCCGGAAUUAUUGGGCGUAAAGAGCUCGUAGGCGGUCUGUCGCGUCUGCUGUGAAAACUCGGGGCUUAACCCCGGGCCUGCAGUGGGUACGGGCAGACUAGAGUGCGGUAGGGGAGACUGGAAUUCCUGGUGUAGCGGUGAAAUGCGUAGAUAUCUGGAGGAACACCGGUGGCGAAGGCGACGUCCUGGACCGGCAUUGACGCUGAGGCGCGAAAGCCAGGGGAGCAAACGGG
This 253-nucleotide ribosomal RNA is filed under the name uncultured bacterium. RNAcentral describes it as "partial 16S ribosomal RNA". It matches the Rfam family "Bacterial small subunit ribosomal RNA", at positions 524 to 776 of the family's 1533-position model. The record is from RNAcentral.